This 465-nucleotide ribosomal RNA is filed under the name Vreelandella stevensii. Its description in RNAcentral is "partial 16S ribosomal RNA". It matches the Rfam family "Bacterial small subunit ribosomal RNA", at positions 338 to 795 of the family's 1533-position model. Lineage: Bacteria; Pseudomonadati; Pseudomonadota; Gammaproteobacteria; Oceanospirillales; Halomonadaceae. The record is from RNAcentral.
CCUACGGGCGGCAGCAGUGGGGAAUAUUGGACAAUGGGCGAAAGCCUGAUCCAGCCAUGCCGCGUGUGUGAAGAAGGCCUUCGGGUUGUAAAGCACUUUCAGUGGGGAAGAAAGCCUUGGGGCUAAUACCCUCGAGGAAGGACAUCACCCACAGAAGAAGCACCGGCUAACUCCGUGCCAGCAGCCGCGGUAAUACGGAGGGUGCGAGCGUUAAUCGGAAUUACUGGGCGUAAAGCGCGCGUAGGCGGUCUGAUAAGCCGGUUGUGAAAGCCCCGGGCUCAACCUGGGAACGGCAUCCGGAACUGUCAGGCUAGAGUGCAGGAGAGGAAGGUAGAAUUCCCGGUGUAGCGGUGAAAUGCGUAGAGAUCGGGAGGAAUACCAGUGGCGAAGGCGGUCUUCUGGACUGACACUGACGCUGAGGUGCGAAAGCGUGGGUAGCAAACAGGAUUAGAUACCCCGGUAGUC